AGAGAUCUAGUGGAACUAAAGUUCAGGGAAUUGUGGGGAAGUAUUUCUAUGUGGCCACCUAGCUCUAUAUAAGGUUAGCCUUUUUAUAAAGAGGACUGUUCAUGAGGACCUAGUGCAAGGCAUACAGUUGCUGAAACUGGUGUUUUUGUAGUUGCUGAGAUACUUUUUGGUGAUCGCUACAAUAUUCCUGAAACAGACAGAAGCCAAGCAGCCUUUUCUGUACCUUUUGGUACUGCUGUGAAGAGGUGGAGUAUUUUGUUCCUAACUGUAGUGCUGCUCCAGCACCCCCAACCAUGGGAGGCAAACUUGGCAAGAAGGGGAUCAGGGUAACUGAAGAGAGAGCUGAAGAUCGUAAGGAUGAGGGAGAAGUUGCAGAAGUGACACCAAAAGAUACAGGCGAGGCCCAGCCUGCAGCAGGGUUUACAGACCUAGAGAGUGGCAAAGAGUCCACGACUGAAGACAAGGAAAGCAGGGGAGACUCUACAGAGUGCAAGGAAUCGGAGGCAAGUAUGGAUGCAAAACCAGAGGUGCAGCAGCACACUGAAGAGGAACUGGUGGCUUCUGCUGCUUGCCGUGAGGCUGAUCUACCCCUUCCUCAGGAAGUCACUUUUGCUAAAGUAGAGGAGAGCAGAGAUCAAAUCAAGGCUGAAGAGAGCAACUUCUGAAGCCCAAGGAAUCAAGUGUGGCGAGACUCCAGCUUCAGGCAAGAUUUGUUAGAAAUAACAGCUUUCCCUCCCGCCCCCCAUCACAGAUCCUGUAACCAAAGUAUUUGACUUCAUUCCUGUAGCCUUGGGGCCUGCAAUCCAGCAGAACUCGAUCCAUUUGAGAAACUCGCUGUAGCAGAACCAGAGUGAAAUGCACAGCUGGAGUUCUAACACUAAAAAAUCUGUUUAUGAGCUGUAUUUUGUGCGUUCAUAGUUUUGACCUCCAGCCACAUGUCUUCCCACUGCACAGGACAUUCUCCUUGGGGAAAGGCAUUAAGGUAACUCAUGGCAUACAAGGCAGUCUGUUAACUGUAUAAAUGAAGUCCCAGCUUAACCUACAGCUUCCCUGGCAUUCAAGCUGCUGAGAAUGUACUUCUGUUGUGAUUGGGGGGGUUGGAACAAUGCACUUGAAUCUACCCUUUGAGAUGAUCCCAUUAAUAUUAAACAGAAAUCUGAUGGGGAUUGUAGCAUUAUGUUAAGACUAAUGUAAACCAGUGGCUGACUGGGGAGGGGGUUUCUUUAGUGAACCUCACUUAAAUAAGCUAAUUUUCCUUUUGUAAACCAACAUCAUGCAAACUUUCUUUGCAGUGUUUCCAUGAGUUAGCAUGUAGCUGUGCUCGACUGAAUCUACAGUCUUUCUGUUAACGGGUCUGUUCAUGACAAUUUGGCUCUAGUUUCUGGGACUUAAAUGGUCUAUCACUGUGUCUAAUGUACAAUGGGUGUAUUGAAGCUAUGCAACUGUAAAUAAUGCAACCAAACACUGUAUUCCCUGCAUGUGUGUGUGGAGUAAUGGGGCAUGGAAUCAUAAGAUUACCUGUCUUAAUUUAACUGCCAAUAAAGACUAUUUUAUGAUUGCUGCAAUGUA
Chelonia mydas (Green sea turtle) is the source of this 1569-nucleotide long non-coding RNA. RefSeq lists it as uncharacterized. The transcript is spliced from 2 exons. Lineage: Eukaryota; Metazoa; Chordata; Testudines; Cheloniidae. The record is from RefSeq and is a predicted model, not a curated record.